This 492-nucleotide ribosomal RNA is filed under the name uncultured bacterium. RNAcentral describes it as "partial 16S ribosomal RNA". It matches the Rfam family "Bacterial small subunit ribosomal RNA", at positions 29 to 507 of the family's 1533-position model. The record is from RNAcentral.
AGUGAACGCUGGCGGUAGGCCUAACACAUGCAAGUCGAACGGCAGCACAGUAAGAGCCUGCUCUUACGGGUGGCGAGUGGCGGACGGGUGAGGAAUACAUCGGAAUCUACUUUUUCGUGGGGGAUAACGUAGGGAAACUUACGCUAAUACCGCAUACGACCUACGGGUGAAAGCAGGGGAUCUUCGGACCUUGCGCGAUUGAAUGAGCCGAUGUCGGAUUAGCUAGUUGGCGGGGUAAAGGCCCACCAAGGCGACGAUCCGUAGCUGGUCUGAGAGGAUGAUCAGCCCCACUGGAACUGAGACACGGUCCAGACUCCUACGGGAGGCAGCAGUGGGGAAUAUUGGACAAGGGGCGCAAGCCUGAUCCAGCCAUACCGCGUGGGUGAAGAAGGCCUUCGGGUUGUAAAGCCCUUUUGUUGGGAAAGAAAAGCAGCAGGUUAAUACCCCGCUGUUCUGACGGUACCCAAAGAAUAAGCACCGGCUAACUUCGUG